This is a long non-coding RNA of Neogale vison (American mink), 1622 nucleotides long. RefSeq lists it as uncharacterized. The transcript has 5 exons. The record is from RefSeq and is a predicted model, not a curated record. NCBI's taxonomy places the organism in Eukaryota, Metazoa, Chordata, Mammalia, Carnivora, Mustelidae.
GUCCGCCCGAGCGACCCGGGAGGCCGUAAAUCCGCGGCCCCACGUGACUUUCCGGGCUUCGCCUCUGGGACCGGAGUCGGCCUGGCGUUCGUUUCCGUGAGGUGCCUUUAGACCCACCCAGUGACUCAAGUUUGCGGUGUGCUCCCGCGUUCCGAAGAUGCUCGCACAGAUUCUUAGUAGGACCCGCGCUUCUCUCUCUCUCGAAUUUUUCUGGAAGUAACCUUGUGUUGGGAUCCCUCAGGGAAAUGAAGAAGCCACGUGGCUGAGUUUCUGCUCCGUCGCCCGCUCACGGUGAGCGGCUAAAACACCGAAAACGGCCCCCGGCCUUCCAGCCAGAGCUCUGUCUACACUAUCUCUAUCCCACUUGCCCAGGCUGUCUUUACCGAAUUUUUUGCUACUUAAAUCAGCGGUAGCCGCAGUCAGUCAACGCCACCACCACUACAGAGAAUCAGAGACGAGCUGGGUUGGAACUCCAUCUGGUCCGUUCCCAACCCACUUUACAGGUCUCAGUCCUUUAGAAAACAGAAGGAAUCCGUUUUUCUAACAUAUCCCUUAGGAACAACCCAAGUUCAAGCUAAACUGCACCUCAGGAAGCUCUCUGAUACUGUACAUUACUACUACCUCUCCCUGUGCUCAGGAUCUCUGCAAAGCAUCAGUUUUGUUCAUUACACGCUUCACUAGUUGGUGAGAGGCCCUGUGGCAAGCCUAGCUCCCCUUUGAAAUGUCACCGGAAUGACCAGAGGAACCCAUCCAAAGGCCCAGAGAGAGGAUCUGGAGACUUCAUGCAAACAGCUUAACCUCUCAGGUUGGCGGAAACUUUUCAGAACAGAGGAAGAAGAACUAUCUCCUCUUUAGUGUUUCCCAAAUCUUGUUAUUAAUCAGAGUCGUUGAGGAGCUUUUAAAAAAUACAACUUCCUAGGCCAACUCCUGAAGGUGCUGCCGUGGAACUUAAGGACCCAAGGCUUGUCACUUCAAGACUGGCAGUGACGGCACCACAGAGGGGACUCAGCUGGUGACUCUGCCACACCAGAUAUCCUGAGUAAUGGAGGCUUCCCUGAACACACUGGGCCUCCCCAGCACCAGAGGACAGUCGCCUCCACUGUAACAGUGUGAGGAUAGGAGUGCCGGACAAUCACCAGAGGCACAGGUUGUCCAGGGGGCAGGCAAGGACAGGAGCUAAGAGAUGUGUCUCCUGCUGGACAGAAGGCCCAAGUUGUCUGAGACAGUGCCUCCGAACAGGACUCCAGGUGAUCUGACAGCGGCCGUGGGGUGGACCCAUACCGUGGAUUUUCAUCAGGGAUUCAGCUUAUUAGAAAAGCAUCCAGGAACAUCCCUUCCCCAUCUGCAAUGUUUUAUUUUAAGACCCAACUCAAAAGCUACUCUGGGCCACCGCCCCCAACUCUCCCAGGCAGCUUUGGUUCUUUUCCACAGCACUCAGUUCUUCCUCUGUAACCGCCAUUGGCACCGUGCCGGUAGCUAAUCCCUUUGAGUAUCUGUCUGCACCAAACCUAAAAUCUUCGAGGCUAGAAGCUUGGUCGUAUCAUCUUUAUUUCCUAAGGCCCUAGCACCAUGUAGGCACCCAAGAGUUGAAUGUUUAUUAAUGAAUAAAUAAAUAAAUGAUG